This 356-nucleotide long non-coding RNA is filed under the name Solanum tuberosum (potato). RNAcentral's name for it is "long non-coding RNA (STUB_LNC010463)". Lineage: Eukaryota; Viridiplantae; Streptophyta; Magnoliopsida; Solanales; Solanaceae. The record is from RNAcentral.
UAUCUAUUUUUAUAAUAUCGCUUAAAGUUGAAUGUCUUACUAAUUCAUUUUAUCUUUUCUCUAUUUGCAUGAAUACUUUGGAACAAAAAUGGAGUCCCGAUUAAGGACUCUCGCAAAAUCGAGUCUCAUAGACUCAACAUUAUCCUCACACUCGCAUGUGGAGUUUUCACUACACCUUUGACCAUUCGAAAUUGCAAGCAAAACAAGUGGUCCUAUCUUGGAGUCACUUAUGGCUACUUACAUUUUGCAUUAUUUGUUUACGUGUUUGUCUUUACAUGUUAUACUUGCUUGUGUGAUUUAGAUAUUUCCAGUUUGGAUUCAUGAUAGUUGACUUAAUAUAGAUAUUUGGAUUUGGG